AACGAACGCUGGCGGCAUGCCUAACACAUGCCAGUCGAACGAGACCUUCGGGUCUAGUGGCGCACGGGUGCGUAACGCGUGGGAACCUGCCCUUAGGUUCGGAAUAACUCCCCGAAAGGGGUGCUAAUACCGGAUAAUCUCUUCGGACCAAAGAUUUAUCGCCUUUGGAUGGGCCCGCGUUGGAUUAGCUAGUUGGUAGGGUAAAAGCCUACCAAGGCGACGAUCCAUAGCUGGUCUGAGAGGAUGAUCAGCCACACUGGGACUGAGACACGGACCAGAAUCCGACGGGAGGGAGCAGUGUGGAAUAUUGGACGAUGGGCGAAAGCCUGAUCCAGCAAUGCCGCGUGAGUGAUGAAGGCGUUAGGGUUGUAAAGCUCUUUUACCCGGGAUGAUAAUGACAGUACCGGGAGAAUAAGCUCCGGCUAACUACGUG
Molecule: ribosomal RNA, 433 nt
Filed under: uncultured bacterium
Lineage: Bacteria
Description: partial 16S ribosomal RNA
Rfam family: Bacterial small subunit ribosomal RNA
Source: RNAcentral